Small nuclear RNA from Camelus dromedarius (Arabian camel), 107 nucleotides. The record is from Ensembl. NCBI's taxonomy places the organism in Eukaryota, Metazoa, Chordata, Mammalia, Artiodactyla, Camelidae.
GUGCUCGCUUCAGCAGCUCAUACACUAAAACUGGAACAAUACAGAGAUGAUGAGCACGGCCCCUGUGCAAACAUGACACCCAAAUUCAUGAAGUGUUACAUGUUUCU